Molecule: ribosomal RNA, 1342 nt
Filed under: Rhabdopleura compacta
Lineage: Eukaryota; Metazoa; Hemichordata; Pterobranchia; Rhabdopleurida; Rhabdopleuridae
Description: 16S ribosomal RNA
Rfam family: Bacterial large subunit ribosomal RNA (bases 1067-1224)
Source: RNAcentral
UUAAUUAUUUUAGUUUGAGAAAGGAUUUUUAUUUAUUAAAUUUGGAGGAGUUCUAAGGUUUAGGGGUAAUCUUAUAGGUAAUAUAAAGUACUGUGAAGGAAUAAUUUAAAAUUUUGGGUGUUUACCUUUUGUAUCAUGGCUUAGUAAAAAUUUUUCUUUAUUUUUAUGUUUUUCCCGAAUUGAGACGAGCUAACAGAGAAAGUUUAUUUAGAAAUUUAUUUUUGGUUCUUACCAUUAGAGAAGUUUCUGUUAGUAGUUAUAUGCUAGGCGUGUUUCAUUUUAGCUGGUUUCCUAUUUUUUCUAUAUGUUUGUUAAUUUUUUUCUAUUUGAAAUUUAAUUUAGAGUUAAAAAAGGGGGUAAAGCUCUUUUUUUUUGAGUUAAAGCUCUUUGGUUUGUUAAAAGUUAUUGAUUUUUAUGUUUUGGGUAAGGUGUAAUUAAUUGCAUUUCUCCUUUAAUAGCGUUAAAGCAUAUUUCUAUUGACGGUUUUGUUUUUUUUCUUUAUAUACUUUGUUUGGGGAAGUUUUGUUUUUUCUUUAGUUUUAAUGCUAAGAUAAGUAAUUUUUUUAUUUUUAUUAUGGUUAUCAUAAAUUAGUUUUCUUCAAGGAAUUAGGCAAAAUAAAUCUCGCCUGUUUAUUAAAAACAUCGUCUUUUGCUUAUAAGUUUUUUGGUAUAAAAGAUAGGUACUGCCCAGUGCGUUUGUAAGUUUUCUUACUUGUUAACGGCGGCGGUAUUCUUAACUGUCCGAAGGUAGCGUAAUUAUUUGGCUUUUAAUUGAAGUCUGGUAUGAAGGGGUUGACGAGGAUUUUUCUGUCUUGGGGUUAGUUAGUGAAUUUAGUUUAAAAGUUAAAAAGCUUUUCUGUAUUUUAGGGACGAUAAGACCCCGAUGAGUUUUUUCUAGUUUUUUUGGUUUAUUAAGGAAGCUUGGUUUGGUUGGGGCAACUAUAUUAUUUUAGAUUUUUAUUUAUUUUGUUUCUGGGGGUAAGUAUUUUUAGGUUACUAUUUGAAAAAUUAUUUUAGUUAUGAUCUAGGUUGUUUUUCUUAGUUUUUGUUUAAAUUACCACGGGGGUAACAGCGUGGUUUUUUUGGAGAGUACAUAUUGAAAAAAUAGUUCGCGACCUCGAUGUAGAAUCACUCUUUCCUAGUGGGGUAGCAAUUACUAAUGGUAGGUUUGUUCAACCUUUAAAAGAGUACGUGAUUUGUGUUUAGACCGUGGUGACACAGGUCAGUUUCUAUCUUUUAUUUUUUUUCUUUUCUUGUACGAAAGGAUCGGAAAGUUUAAAUUUCUUCUAUUUUAAGUUUAUUUGUUAAUUUGGAUCAAGUUUAAGAUAUGUUUAGGAUUUUU